This 479-nucleotide ribosomal RNA is filed under the name uncultured anaerobic ammonium-oxidizing bacterium. RNAcentral describes it as "bacterial SSU rRNA". It matches the Rfam family "Bacterial small subunit ribosomal RNA", at positions 365 to 834 of the family's 1533-position model. The record is from RNAcentral.
UUCGCAAUGCCCGAAAGGGUGACGAAGCGACGCCGCGUGGGUGAGGAAGGCCUUCGGGUUGUAAAGCCCUGUCAGGAGUUAAGAAAUGUAAGUGCGCUAAUACCGCAUUUAUUUGACGAAGGCUCCAAAGGAAGUCACGGCUAACUCUGUGCCAGCAGCCGCGGUAAUACAGAGGUGGCAAGCGUUGUUCGGAAUUAUUGGGCGUAAAGAGCACGUAGGUGGGUUUGUAAGUCAGAUGUGAAAGCCUCCUGUUCAACGGGAGAAUUGCAUCUGAAACUACAGAUCUUGAGUGUAGGAGGGGAGAAUGGAACUUCUGGUGGAGCGGUGAAAUGCGUAGAUAUCAGAAGGAACGCCGGCGGCGAAAGCGAUUCUCUGGCCUAUUACUGACACUCAGUGUGCGAAAGCUAGGGUAGCAAACGGGAUUAGACACCCCGGUAGUCCUAGCCGUAAACGAUGGGCACUAAGUAGAGGGGUUUUAA